This 492-nucleotide ribosomal RNA is filed under the name uncultured bacterium. RNAcentral describes it as "partial 16S ribosomal RNA". It matches the Rfam family "Bacterial small subunit ribosomal RNA", at positions 29 to 507 of the family's 1533-position model. The record is from RNAcentral.
AGUGAACGCUGGCGGUAGGCCUAACACAUGCAAGUCGAACGGCAGCACAGUAAGAGCUUGCUCUUACGGGUGGCGAGUGGCGGACGGGUGAGGAAUACAUCGGAAUCUACUUUUUCGUGGGGGUUAACGUAGGGAAACUUACGCUAGUACCGCAUACGACCUACGGGUGAAAGCAGGGGUUCUUCGGACCUUGCGCGAUUGAAUGAGCCGAUGUCGGAUUAGCUAGUUGGCGGGGUAAAGGCCCACCAAGGCGACGAUCCGUAGCUGGUCUGAGAGGAUGAUCAGCCACACUGGAACUGAGACACGGUCCAGACUCCUACGGGAGGCAGCAGUGGGGAAUAUUGGACAAUGGGCGCAAGCCUGAUCCAGCCAUACCGCGUGGGUGAAGAAGGCCUUCGGGUUGUAAAGCCCUUUUGUUGGGAAAGAAAAGCAGCAGGUUAAUACCCCGCUGUUCUGACGGUACCCAAAGAAUAAGCACCGGCUAACUUCGUG